CCUACGGGCGGCAGCAGUAGGGAAUCUUUCACAAUGGGCGAAAGCCUGAUGGAGCAACGCCGCGUGCAGGAUGAAGGCCUUCGGGUUGUAAACUGCUUUUAUAAGCGAGAAAUAUGAUGGUAACUUAUGAAUAAGGAUCGGCUAACUACGUGCCAGCAGCCGCGGUCAUACGUAGGAUCCGAGCAUUAUCCGGAGUGACUGGGUGUAAAGAGUUGCGUAGGUGGCAUAAUAAGUAGCUAGGGAAAUCUGGUGGCUCAACCAUUCAGACUAUUAGCUAAACUGUUAAGCUCGAGACCGUUAGGGGUAACUGGAAUUUCUAGUGUAGGAGUGAAAUCCGUAGAUAUUAGAAGGAACACCAAUAGCGUAGGCAGGUUGCUGGGACGGUUCUGACACUAAGGCACGAAAGCGUAGGGAGCAAACGGGAUUAGAUACCCCUGUAGUC
RNAcentral lists this ribosomal RNA (442 nucleotides) under uncultured bacterium. Its description in RNAcentral is "partial 16S ribosomal RNA". It matches the Rfam family "Bacterial small subunit ribosomal RNA", at positions 338 to 795 of the family's 1533-position model. The record is from RNAcentral.